CUGACUUCCUGUCAUGAUGUGCUGAUGAAGACAGAAGAAUAAAUAGGGUGGUCUUCCAUGGCUAGGGCUCUUUGCUUCCUGGGUCGGGACUUUGGUGGAGCGGACUGUUUGAACAGUGAAAGAAAAUUUUCAUCCUCAAGCGACUGAAAAUCCCUAACAUCUAAGGCAACAAAAAAUCUGUGACUGGUGAUUGUUUAUGGAGCCAGAAAUGGGUAUAUUCUAAAGGAUAAAGCAAGCUUCCUACCAUUUGUUUCCCAACCUGGCUGGGACUCCUGCAAGGAGGACAAGCUAAUGUAAGCCUCCAGGUGAAGGAGGGAGCUAGAAUCCAUGAUGCGAUUUAUCAGAUGCCAGAUGGUGAAUAUCAAAGUGCGGAGAGCCCAAGCAGUAGCAAAGAUGUGGACUCACUUAAUCUCUGGCUAUGCAGUAUGUAGAAGUGAAAUUGGGAUGAUCAAUGAUCAAUUCUAUGUAGAGACUGCUUCCAUUUUGAGCCCUUUCUCCAGGAAUGGCGGUGAUAUAGGGGAGAACUAUCCCUGUGUGUUAGGGGUGGGAAUAAUUUGUAACAUUAUAUCUUUGCAGUAAAUGGUUUUUAAAAAAUAUUUGUCCAUUUGAUGUAAGUUAUUACUUUUGUUGGCA
Long non-coding RNA from Monodelphis domestica (gray short-tailed opossum), 633 nucleotides. RefSeq lists it as uncharacterized. Lineage: Eukaryota; Metazoa; Chordata; Mammalia; Didelphimorphia; Didelphidae. The record is from RefSeq and is a predicted model, not a curated record.